Molecule: long non-coding RNA, 256 nt
Organism: Bufo gargarizans (Asiatic toad)
Lineage: Eukaryota; Metazoa; Chordata; Amphibia; Anura; Bufonidae
Exons: 3
Source: RefSeq, a predicted model, not a curated record
CGGGAUAUGUAGUCUUCUUUAGCCACGAUGGCCAGUGUCCAAACUCCUGCUGUGAUUCUACACAGCAGAGAUGGUAUGUGGCCUCCAGUUCCUCCAUGGACACAACAUCGUCCACCGAGAUCUAAAGCCGCUCAAUUUCUUGUUGGAUGCAGAUGGCCACAUCCGUAUCAUCGACCUCGGGCUGGCCCAGGAUGGUGUCACUGCCUCCAAUAAGAUCCGUGGAGUGACAGGAACCUUCCAUUACAUGGCCCCUGAG